RNAcentral lists this transfer RNA (99 nucleotides) under subsurface metagenome. RNAcentral describes it as "tRNA-Ala". It matches the Rfam family "tRNA". From Rfam's summary of the family: Transfer RNA (tRNA) molecules are approximately 80 nucleotides in length. Their secondary structure includes four short double-helical elements and three loops (D, anti-codon, and T loops). The record is from RNAcentral.
GGGCCGGUAGAUCAGUCUGGUAUGAUCGUUCGCUUGGCAUGCGAAUGACCCGAAAAGGUCCGCAAAAGGUCGCGGGUUCGAAUCCCGCCCGGUCCACCA